This 31-nucleotide non-coding RNA is filed under the name Mus musculus (house mouse). Lineage: Eukaryota; Metazoa; Chordata; Mammalia; Rodentia; Muridae. The record is from RNAcentral.
UGCCUAUGUGUAGAUCUAAAGAUAAAUACUC